GUGAGUCAUCGAAUCUUUGAACGCACAUUGCACCUCUCGCAGGGGAGGUAUGCCUGUCUGAGUGUCAUUGAAACCAAUAGACCCUUCUGGGUUUGUGCUGGGCUCCACAUGAAAGUGUGCUGCCUCAAAGUCCUGGUCUAACCUGCGGACGAGCUCCUCUUGGACCUACUGUUGAACUGACCCUUUUCUCUGUAUUUGACCUCAGAUCAGGUAGGAAGACCGCCUGAACUUAAGCAUAUCAAUAAGCGGAGGA
RNAcentral lists this unclassified non-coding RNA (253 nucleotides) under Archaeorhizomyces sp. Its description in RNAcentral is "partial contains 5.8S ribosomal RNA, internal transcribed spacer 2, and large subunit ribosomal RNA". The stretch from base 1 to 67 matches the Rfam family "5.8S ribosomal RNA", at positions 84 to 154 of the family's 154-position model. Lineage: Eukaryota; Fungi; Ascomycota; Archaeorhizomycetes; Archaeorhizomycetales; Archaeorhizomycetaceae. The record is from RNAcentral.